Telopea speciosissima is the source of this 92-nucleotide long non-coding RNA. RefSeq lists it as uncharacterized. The record is from RefSeq and is a predicted model, not a curated record. Lineage: Eukaryota; Viridiplantae; Streptophyta; Magnoliopsida; Proteales; Proteaceae. The transcript has 3 exons.
AACUUUGUUUUAUGAGAAAAGAUCCUCUAAACUUCAUGACCCAGCCAAUGCUCCUUGUCUUUGCGUGCAUGGGAUGGCAUCAGAAGUAGAAA